GAACGAACGCUGGCGGCAGGCCUAACACAUGCAAGUCGAGCGAGACCUUCGGGUCUAGCGGCGGACGGGUUAGUAACGCGUGGGAACGUGCCCUUCUCUGCGGAAUAGCCACUGGAAACGGUGAGUAAUACCGCAUACGCCCUUCGGGGGAAAGAUUUAUCGGAGAAGGAUCGGCCCGCGUUAGAUUAGAUAGUUGGUGGGGUAAUGGCCUACCAAGUCUACGAUCUAUAGCUGGUUUUAGAGGAUGAUCAGCAACACUGGGACUGAGACACGGCCCAGACUCCUACGGGAGGCAGCAGUGGGGAAUCUUAGACAAUGGGCGCAAGCCUGAUCUAGCCAUGCCGCGUGUGUGAUGAAGGUCUUAGGAUCGUAAAGCACUUUCGCCAGGGAUGAUAAUGACAGUACCUGGUAAAGAAACCCCGGCUAACUCCGUGCCAGCAGCCGCGGUAAUACGGAGGGGGUUAGCGUUGUUCGGAAUUACUGGGCGUAAAGCGUACGUAGGCGGAUCAGAAAGUAAGGGGUGAAAUCCCAGGGCUCAACCCUGGAACUGCCUCUUAAACUCCUGGUCUUGAGUUCGAGAGAGGUGAGUGGAAUUCCAAGUGUAGAGGUGAAAUUCGUAGAUAUUUGGAGGAACACCAGUGGCGAAGGCGGCUCACUGGCUCGAUACUGACGCUGAGGUACGAAAGUGUGGGGAGCAAACAGGAUUAGAUACCCUGGUAGUCCACACCGUAAACGAUGAAUGCCAGUCGUCGGGCAGUAUACUGUUCGGUGACACACCUAACGGAUUAAGCAUCCGC
This 797-nucleotide ribosomal RNA is filed under the name uncultured Sulfitobacter sp. RNAcentral's name for it is "bacterial SSU rRNA". It matches the Rfam family "Bacterial small subunit ribosomal RNA", at positions 27 to 872 of the family's 1533-position model. Lineage: Bacteria; Pseudomonadati; Pseudomonadota; Alphaproteobacteria; Rhodobacterales; Roseobacteraceae. The record is from RNAcentral.